GCACCAAUGGUGAAAUGGAUAUCACAAAGGUCUUCGGAACCUUUAUUUGGGGUUCGAGUCCCUAUUGGUGCACCA
Molecule: transfer RNA, 75 nt
Filed under: Clostridiales bacterium
Lineage: Bacteria; Bacillati; Bacillota; Clostridia; Eubacteriales
Description: tRNA-Arg
Rfam family: tRNA
About the family: Transfer RNA (tRNA) molecules are approximately 80 nucleotides in length. Their secondary structure includes four short double-helical elements and three loops (D, anti-codon, and T loops).
Source: RNAcentral